AGAGGCGAUGAAGGACGUGCUAAUCUGCGAUAAGCGUCGGUGAGGUGAUAUGAACCGUUAUAACCGGCGAUUUCCGAAUGGGGAAACCCAGUGUGUUUCGACACACUAUCAUUAACUGAAUCCAUAGGUUAAUGAGGCGAACCGGGGGAACUGAAACAUCUAAGUACCCCGAGGAAAAGAAAUCAACCGAGAUUCCCCCAGUAGCGGCGAGCGAACGGGGAGGAGCCCAGAGCCUGAAUCAGUGUGUGUGUUAGUGGAAGCGUCUGGAAAGGCGCGCGAUACAGGGUGACAGCCCCGUACACAAAAAUGCACAUAUUGUGAGCUCGAUGAGUAGGGCGGGACACGUGGUAUCCUGUCUGAAUAUGGGGGGACCAUCCUCCAAGGCUAAAUACUCCUGACUGACCGAUAGUGAACCAGUACCGUGAGGGAAAGGCGAAAAGAACCCCGGCGAGGGGAGUGAAAAAGAACCUGAAACCGUGUACGUACAAGCAGUGGGAGCCUCUUUAUGGGGUGACUGCGUACCUUUUGUAUAAUGGGUCAGCGACUUAUAUUCUGUAGCAAGGUUAACCGAAUAGGGGAGCCGAAGGGAAACCGAGUCUUAACUGGGCGUUAAGUUGCAGGGUAUAGACCCGAAACCCGGUGAUCUAGCCAUGGGCAGGUUGAAGGUUGGGUAACACUAACUGGAGGACCGAACCGACUAAUGUUGAAAAAUUAGCGGAUGACUUGUGGCUGGGGGUGAAAGGCCAAUCAAACCGGGAGAUAGCUGGUUCUCCCCGAAAGCUAUUUAGGUAGCGCCUCGUGAAUUCAUCUCCGGGGGUAGAGCACUGUUUCGGCAAGGGGGUCAUCCCGACUUACCAACCCGAUGCAAACUGCGAAUACCGGAGAAUGUUAUCACGGGAGACACACGGCGGGUGCUAACGUCCGUCGUGAAGAGGGAAACAACCCAGACCGCCAGCUAAGGUCCCAAAGUCAUGGUUAAGUGGGAAACGAUGUGGGAAGGCCCAGACAGCCAGGAUGUUGGCUUAGAAGCAGCCAUCAUUUAAAGAAAGCGUAAUAGCUCACUGGUCGAGUCGGCCUGCGCGGAAGAUGUAACGGGGCUAAACCAUGCACCGAAGCUGCGGCAGCGACACUAUGUGUUGUUGGGUAGGGGAGCGUUCUGUAAGCCUGUGAAGGUGGCCUGUGAGGGUUGCUGGAGGUAUCAGAAGUGCGAAUGCUGACAUAAGUAACGAUAAAGCGGGUGAAAAGCCCGCUCGCCGGAAGACCAAGGGUUCCUGUCCAACGUUAAUCGGGGCAGGGUGAGUCGACCCCUAAGGCGAGGCCGAAAGGCGUAGUCGAUGGGAAACAGGUUAAUAUUCCUGUACUUGGUGUUACUGCGAAGGGGGGACGGAGAAGGCUAUGUUGGCCGGGCGACGGUUGUCCCGGUUUAAGCGUGUAGGCUGGUUUUCCAGGCAAAUCCGGAAAACCAAGGCUGAGGCGUGAUGACGAGGCACUACGGUGCUGAAGCGACAAAUGCCCUGCUUCCAGGAAAAGCCUCUAAGCAUCAGGUAACAUCAAAUCGUACCCCAAACCGACACAGGUGGUCAGGUAGAGAAUACCAAGGCGCUUGAGAGAACUCGGGUGAAGGAACUAGGCAAAAUGGUGCCGUAACUUCGGGAGAAGGCACGCUGAUAUGUAGGUGAAGCGACUUGCUCGUGGAGCUGAAAUCAGUCGAAGAUACCAGCUGGCUGCAACUGUUUAUUAAAAACACAGCACUGUGCAAACACGAAAGUGGACGUAUACGGUGUGACGCCUGCCCGGUGCCGGAAGGUUAAUUGAUGGGGUUAGCGGUAACGCGAAGCUCUUGAUCGAAGCCCCGGUAAACGGCGGCCGUAACUAUAACGGUCCUAAGGUAGCGAAAUUCCUUGUCGGGUAAGUUCCGACCUGCACGAAUGGCGUAAUGAUGGCCAGGCUGUCUCCACCCGAGACUCAGUGAAAUUGAACUCGCUGUGAAGAUGCAGUGUACCCGCGGCAAGACGGAAAGACCCCGUGAACCUUUACUAUAGCUUGACACUGAACAUUGAGCCUUGAUGUGUAGGAUAGGUGGGAGGCUUUGAAGUGUGGACGCCAGUCUGCAUGGAGCCGACCUUGAAAUACCACCCUUUAAUGUUUGAUGUUCUAACGUUGGCCCGUAAUCCGGGUUGCGGACAGUGUCUGGUGGGUAGUUUGACUGGGGCGGUCUCCUCCUAAAGAGUAACGGAGGAGCACGAAGGUUGGCUAAUCCUGGUCGGACAUCAGGAGGUUAGUGCAAUGGCAUAAGCCAGCUUGACUGCGAGCGUGACGGCGCGAGCAGGUGCGAAAGCAGGUCAUAGUGAUCCGGUGGUUCUGAAUGGAAGGGCCAUCGCUCAACGGAUAAAAGGUACUCCGGGGAUAACAGGCUGAUACCGCCCAAGAGUUCAUAUCGACGGCGGUGUUUGGCACCUCGAUGUCGGCUCAUCACAUCCUGGGGCUGAAGUAGGUCCCAAGGGUAUGGCUGUUCGCCAUUUAAAGUGGUACGCGAGCUGGGUUUAGAACGUCGUGAGACAGUUCGGUCCCUAUCUGCCGUGGGCGCUGGAGAACUGAGGGGGGCUGCUCCUAGUACGAGAGGACCGGAGUGGACGCAUCACUGGUGUUCGGGUUGUCAUGCCAAUGGCACUGCCCGGUAGCUAAAUGCGGAAGAGAUAAGUGCUGAAAGCAUCUAAGCACGAAACUUGC
Molecule: ribosomal RNA, 2730 nt
Filed under: Escherichia coli
Lineage: Bacteria; Pseudomonadati; Pseudomonadota; Gammaproteobacteria; Enterobacterales; Enterobacteriaceae
Description: partial 23S ribosomal RNA
Rfam family: Bacterial large subunit ribosomal RNA
Source: RNAcentral